Molecule: ribosomal RNA, 373 nt
Filed under: uncultured organism
Description: bacterial SSU rRNA
Rfam family: Bacterial small subunit ribosomal RNA
Source: RNAcentral
CGCAGGGACCGAGCGUUGUCCGGAUUCAUUGGGCGUAAAGAGCUCGUAGGCAGCCACUCAAGUCGAAUGUGAAACCUCGAGGCUUAACCUCGAGCCUGCAUUCGAUACUGGGCGGCUAGAGUCUGGUAGGGGGAUCUGGAAUUCCUGGUGUAGCGGUGGAAUGCGCAGAUAUCAGGAGGAACACCGGUGGCGAAGGCGGGAUCCUGGGCCAGUACUGACGCUGAGGAGCGAAAGCGUGGGGAGCAAACAGGAUUAGAUACCCUGGUAGUCCACGCCGUAAACGAUGGGCGCUAGGUGUGGGAGGUCAUCGACUCCUUCCGUGCCGCAGCUAACGCAUUAAGCGCCCCGCCUGGGGAGUACGGCCGCAAGGCUA